This 278-nucleotide ribosomal RNA is filed under the name uncultured bacterium. RNAcentral's name for it is "partial 16S ribosomal RNA". It matches the Rfam family "Bacterial small subunit ribosomal RNA", at positions 65 to 339 of the family's 1533-position model. The record is from RNAcentral.
AACGGAGCUUAGAGAGCUUGCUUUUUAAACUUAGUGGCGGACGGGUGAGUAACGCGUGGGUAACCUGCCAUACACAGGGGGAUAGCAGUUGGAAACGACUGGUAAUACCGCAUACCUUACAUUAUUCGCAUGUUUGAUGUAAGAAAGAUUUUAUCGGUGUAAGAUGGACCCGCGCCUGAUUAGCUAGUUGGUGUGGUAACGGCAUACCAAGGCGACGAUCAGUAGCCGGCCUGAGAGGGUGAACGGCCACAUUGGGACUGAGAUACGGCCCAGACUCC